Molecule: ribosomal RNA, 497 nt
Filed under: uncultured bacterium
Lineage: Bacteria
Description: partial 16S ribosomal RNA
Rfam family: Bacterial small subunit ribosomal RNA
Source: RNAcentral
GAUGAACGCUGGCGGCGUGCCUAAUACAUGCAAGUCGAGCGAACAGACGAGGAGCUUGCUCCUCUGACGUUAGCGGCGGACGGGUGAGUAACACGUGGAUAACCUACCUAUAAGACUGGGAUAACUUCGGGAAACCGGUGCUAAUACCGGAUAAUAUAUUGAACCGCAUGGUUCAAUAGUGAAAGACGGUUUUGCUGUCACUUAUAGAUGGAUCCGCGCCGCAUUAGCUAGUUGGUAAGGUAACGGCUUACCAAGGCAACGAUGCGUAGCCGACCUGAGAGGGUGAUCGGCCACACUGGAACGGAGACACGGUCCAGACUCCUACGGGAGGCAGCAGUAGGGAAUCUUCCGCAAUGGGCGAAAGCCUGACGGAGCAACGCCGCGUGAGUGAUGAAGGUCUUCGGAUCGUAAAACUCUGUUAUUAGGGAAGAACAAAUGUGUAAGUAACUAUGCACGUCUUGACGGUACCUAAUCAGAAAGCCACGGCUAACUACGUG